GCUGAUAUGGCUCAGUUGGUAGAGCGCACCCUUGGUAAGGGUGAGGUCCCCAGUUCGACUCUGGGUAUUAGCACCA
This 76-nucleotide transfer RNA is filed under the name Escherichia coli. Its description in RNAcentral is "tRNA-Thr". It matches the Rfam family "tRNA". Rfam says of the family: Transfer RNA (tRNA) molecules are approximately 80 nucleotides in length. Their secondary structure includes four short double-helical elements and three loops (D, anti-codon, and T loops). Lineage: Bacteria; Pseudomonadati; Pseudomonadota; Gammaproteobacteria; Enterobacterales; Enterobacteriaceae. The record is from RNAcentral. RNAcentral also lists the same sequence under 1 other name.